UGGCUCAGGAUGAACGCUAGCGACAGGCCUAACACAUGCAAGUCGAGGGGCAUCGGGGCGAGGAGCAAUCCUUGCCGCCGGCGACCGGCGCACGGGUGAGUAACGCGUAUGCGACCUGCCCGUUGCAGGGGGAUAAUCGGGAGAAAUCCCGUCUAAUACCGCGUAAUGCCGCGGGGCUGCAUGGCCCUGCGGCCAAAGGAAGCGAUUCCGGCAACGGAUGGGCAUGCGUGACAUUAGCUAGUUGGCGGGGCAACGGCCCACCAAGGCGACGAUGUCUAGGGGUUCUGAGAGGAAGGUCCCCCACACUGGUACUGAAACACGGACCAGACUCCUACGGGAGGCAGCAGUGAGGAAUAUUGGUCAAUGGGCGCGAGCCUGAACCAGCCAAGUCGCGUGAGGGAUGACGGCCCUACGGGUUGUAAACCUCUUUUGUCGGGGAGCAAAUUCCGCCACGUGUGGCGGAGUCGAGAGUACCCGAAGAAAAAGCAUCGGCUAACUCCGUGCCAGCAGCCGCGGUAAUACGGAGGAUGCGAGCGUUAUCCGGAUUUAUUGGGUUUAAAGGGUGCGUAGGCGGACUGUCAAGUCAGCGGUAAAAUACGGGGGCUCAACCUCCGCCCGCCGUUGAAACUGACGGUCUUGAGUGGGCGAGAAGUAUGCGGAAUGCGUGGUGUAGCGGUGAAAUGCAUAGAUAUCACGCAGAACUCCGAUUGCGAAGGCAGCAUACCGGCGCCCAACUGACGCUGAAGCACGAAAGCGUGGGUAUCGAACAGGAUUAGAUACCCUGGUAGUCCACGCAGUAAACGAUGAAUACUAGCUGUCCGGGGCGAAUGAGCCCUGGGUGGCACAGCGAAAGCGUUAAGUAUUCCACCUGGGGAGUACGCCGGCAACGGUGAAACUCAAAGGAAUUGACGGGGGCCCGCACAAGCGGAGGAACAUGUGGUUUAAUUCGAUGAUACGCGAGGAACCUUACCCGGGCUCAAACGACACAGGAACGUACCUGAAAGGGUUCGGCUCUACGGAGCCUGUGUCGAGGUGCUGCAUGGUUGUCGUCAGCUCGUGCCGUGAGGUGUCGGCUUAAGUGCCAUAACGAGCGCAACCCCCAUCGACAGUUGCUAACAGGUCAGGCUGAGGACUCUGUCGAGACUGCCGGCGCAAGCUGCGAGGAAGGCGGGGAUGACGUCAAAUCAGCACGGCCCUUACGUCCGGGGCGACACACGUGUUACAAUGGCAGGUACAGCGGGAAGCCACCUGGCGACAGGGAGCGGAACCCGAAAGCCUGUCUCAGUUCGGAUUGGAGUCUGCAACCCGACUCCAUGAAGCUGGAUUCGCUAGUAAUCGCGCAUCAGCCACGGCGCGGUGAAUACGUUCCCGGGCCUUGUACACACCGCCCGUCAAGCCAUGGAAGCCGGGGGUGCCUGAAGUGCGCUGCCGCGAGGAGCGCCCUAGGGUAAAACCUGGUGACUGGGGCUAAGUCGUAACAAGGU
RNAcentral lists this ribosomal RNA (1484 nucleotides) under uncultured bacterium. RNAcentral describes it as "16S ribosomal RNA". It matches the Rfam family "Bacterial small subunit ribosomal RNA". The record is from RNAcentral.